GAUGAAGAACGUAGUGAAAUGCGAUAAGUAGUGUGAAUUGCAGAAUUCAGUGAAUCAUCGAAUCUUUGAACGCACAUUGCGCCCCUUGGUAUUCCAUGGGGCAUGCCUGUUCGAGCGUCAUUUGUACCUUCAAGCUCUGCUUGGUGUUGGGUGUUUGUCUCGCCUCCGCGUGUAGACUCGCCUUAAAACAAUUGGCAGCCGGCGUAUUGAUUUCGGAGCGCAGUACAUCUCGCGCUUUGCACUCAUAACGACGACGUCCAAAAGUACAUUUUUACACUCUUGACCUCGGAUCAGGUAGGGAUACCCGCUGAACUUAAGCAUAUCAAUAAGCGGAGGA
Molecule: unclassified non-coding RNA, 337 nt
Filed under: soil metagenome
Description: partial contains 5.8S ribosomal RNA, internal transcribed spacer 2, and large subunit ribosomal RNA
Rfam family: 5.8S ribosomal RNA (bases 1-120)
Source: RNAcentral